UUGGACCUGAUAUCAGGCAGAUUACCCGCUGAACU
This 35-nucleotide ribosomal RNA is filed under the name Phytophthora palmivora. Its description in RNAcentral is "partial 28S ribosomal RNA". Lineage: Eukaryota; Oomycota; Peronosporomycetes; Peronosporales; Peronosporaceae. The record is from RNAcentral.